ACCGUAAGUUUGAAGUCCUCCAAGUUGUGGUCGGCGCCAUCAUGACGCCGGCGACUAACACAUAUUGUUUAAUUGAGUCUACUUUACUACUUGGUUCACCUUUGCCUUAUGAGUUCCUUAGAAGGAGAAAACACUCUGUAUUUUUGAACAGAUGCUUCAUUAUGGGAGGUGUUCAAUAGCUCACUGUGAUUGUUGAGAAGUCAACACAGGGACAAGGAAAUCUCAGAUGGUUGUCUACAGUUACAAGGGGGAUUUUUGGACUGAUUUGUGAUUUUUCUGGGAAUGCAACUCAAGUUAGAAGAGGCCAUUAUCUGAAAGAAGAAGAAGCACCAGCUGAUGUGUUGGUUAUUUUAGGGCGACAUUUGCAGUUGCUUGGGCAAUAUCAUGAGCCUCACCUCAUGCAGGUCUGGGUCCCAGACCCAAAGACUGCUCCUCCAUACUCAGAGAUACCAGCACUAACAGAGCAGCUCCUCUUCUUCAGUACAGAUGCUUCUCAACUUACAAUGAGGUUAUACCCUUAUAAACACAUGGCUGUAGGUAUACCACAAAGUGAUGGCAUCCACGGCCGUAUGGAUUGGCUGCUGAGAAGACACCACUGCAGUGGGGGAGGCACAACCUGGGCUGUGCACUCUGCGGAGCCCACAGGAGCUGGAAACAGAAACACUACUUGCUGCUGCUAGGUCAGAAACAGAAAACUGGAAAUAUCUCAGAUACAGCUUGGCUGAAGCAAUAGAGAAAAAAAUUCCUAUGAAGUAGAGAGAGAGAAAAGAGAGGUGUUUUGUCAGUUGGUAAUGUAUAUAUGGUGUUUUGUUGUGUCAUUUUCUAAGUUUCUGAAUUCUGAGAACUUAGAAACUUAUUUACAAUAACCUGUUUUUCAUCUUCAAGUGGAUUUGUAAAAAUGAUGUAACAAAAAAAAGUCCAGUUUGUUAUAUUCCUCAAUCAUCACCAAUAUUUUAUGCUCCCAAAGAAAAUGGGAAAAUGUCUUUUUCCAUUACUAGAUGUAUAUCCAGUGCCCACCAUGACUAGGGAAAAAGAGAACUGGUUAUAUAUGUAUAUGUAUUUGGUGAAUUGAAACAAAUUAUUCUGAUGUGUGAAAAUAUCAUUUUUUGUCUAAAUAUAAAAUAUUCCUAUAAUGGCAAAA
RNAcentral lists this long non-coding RNA (1141 nucleotides) under Homo sapiens (human). Its description in RNAcentral is "long intergenic non-protein coding RNA 2796". Lineage: Eukaryota; Metazoa; Chordata; Mammalia; Primates; Hominidae. The record is from RNAcentral.